AGCGAACGCUGGCGGCAGGCCUAACACAUGCAAGUCGAACGAACUCUUCGGAGUUAGUGGCGGACGGGUGAGUAACACGUGGGAACGUGCCUUUAGGUUCGGAAUAACUCAGGGAAACUUGUGCUAAUACCGAAUGUGCCCUUCGGGGGAAAGAGUUAUCGCCUUUAGAGCGGCCCGCGUCUGAUUAGCUAGUUGGUGAGGUAAAGGCUCACCAAGGCGACGAUCAGUAGCUGGUCUGAGAGGAUGAUCAGCCACAUUGGGACUGAGACACGGCCCAAACUCCGACGGGAGGCAGCAGUGGGGAAUCUUGCGCAAUGGGCGAAAGCCUGACGCAGCCAUGCCGCGUGAAUGAUGAAGGUCUUAGGAUUGUAAAAUUCUUUCACCGGGGACGAUAAGGACGGAACCCGGAGAAGAAGCCCCGGCUAACUUCGU
RNAcentral lists this ribosomal RNA (432 nucleotides) under uncultured bacterium. RNAcentral's name for it is "partial 16S ribosomal RNA". It matches the Rfam family "Bacterial small subunit ribosomal RNA", at positions 29 to 506 of the family's 1533-position model. The record is from RNAcentral.